RNAcentral lists this ribosomal RNA (485 nucleotides) under uncultured bacterium. RNAcentral describes it as "partial 16S ribosomal RNA". It matches the Rfam family "Bacterial small subunit ribosomal RNA", at positions 28 to 507 of the family's 1533-position model. The record is from RNAcentral.
GAUGAACGCUGGCGGCGUGCUUAACACAUGCAAGUCGAACGGGAUCCAAGGGGUGCUUGCACUUUUUGGUGAGAGUGGCGAACGGGUGAGUAACACGUGAGUAACCUGUCCUUUUCUUUGGGAUAAGCAUUCGAAAGGGUGUUUAAUACCUUAUGUUCUGUCUGCCUCGCAUGGGGUGGGUGGGAAAGGCUUUGGCCGGAUUUGGGUGGGCUCGCGGUCUAUCAGCUUGUUGGUGGGGUGAUGGCUUACCAAGGCUUUGACGGGUAGCCGGCCUGAGAGGGGGGGUGGUUAAAUUGGGACUGAGAUACGGCCCAGACUCCUGCGGGAGGCAGCAGUGGGGGAUAUUGCACAAUGGGCGAAAGCCUGAUGCAGCGACGCCGCGUGGGGGAUGAAGGCCUUCGGGUUGUAAACUUCUUUUGCUCUGAACAAGGCAUGCCAGUGGGUGUGUUGAGUGUAGGGGUUGAUUAGCGCCGGCUAACUACGUG